AGUGAACGCUGGCGGUAGGCCUAACACAUGCAAGUCGAACGGCAGCACAGUAAGAGCUUGCUCUUACGGGUGGCGAGUGGCGGACGGGUGAGGAAUACAUCGGAAUCUACUUUUUCGUGGGGGAUAACGUAGGGAAACUUACGCUAAUACCGCAUACGACCUACGGGUGAAAGCAGGGGAUCUUCGGACCUUGCGCGAUUGAAUGAGCCGAUGUCGGGUUAGCUAGUUGGCGGGGUAAAGGCCCACCAAGGCGACGAUCCGUAGCUGGUCUGAGAGGAUGAUCAGCCACACUGGAACUGAGACACGGUCCAGACUCCUACGGGAGGCAGCAGUGGGGAAUAUUGGACAAUGGGCGCAAGCCUGAUCCAACCAUACCGCGUGGGUGAAGAAGGCCUUCGGGUUGUAAAGCCCUUUUGUUGGGAAAGAAAAGCAGCAGGUUAAUACCCCGCUGUUCUGACGGUACCCAAAGAAUAAGCACCGGCUAACUUCGUG
Molecule: ribosomal RNA, 492 nt
Filed under: uncultured bacterium
Lineage: Bacteria
Description: partial 16S ribosomal RNA
Rfam family: Bacterial small subunit ribosomal RNA
Source: RNAcentral